This 71-nucleotide transfer RNA is filed under the name Ictidomys tridecemlineatus (thirteen-lined ground squirrel). RNAcentral describes it as "Spermophilus tridecemlineatus (thirteen-lined ground squirrel) tRNA". It matches the Rfam family "tRNA". Rfam says of the family: Transfer RNA (tRNA) molecules are approximately 80 nucleotides in length. Their secondary structure includes four short double-helical elements and three loops (D, anti-codon, and T loops). RNAcentral also lists the same sequence under 1 other name. The record is from Rfam by way of RNAcentral. Lineage: Eukaryota; Metazoa; Chordata; Mammalia; Rodentia; Sciuridae.
GGGGAUAUAGCUCAGUUGGUAGAGUGCUUGCCUAGCAUGCAAAUAGUCCCUGGGUUCAAUCCUUAGCACCA